This 340-nucleotide non-coding RNA is filed under the name Neolecta irregularis DAH-3. RNAcentral describes it as "Bacterial small subunit ribosomal RNA". It matches the Rfam family "Bacterial small subunit ribosomal RNA", at positions 1010 to 1366 of the family's 1533-position model. The record is from Rfam by way of RNAcentral. Lineage: Eukaryota; Fungi; Ascomycota; Neolectomycetes; Neolectales; Neolectaceae.
UCUUGGUGUAUAGCCGUAAUGUUUACAGGCGUUGCAUGGCUGUCGUCAGUUCGUGUCGUAAGACGUAUGGUUUAUUCCGCUAAACGAACGCAACCCUUGUUCAUAGUUAAUAUAGACUAUGAAAUCACUGGACAACAGUGACUAAGGGAGGAUGAAGACAAGUCGUCAUGGCCCUUAUGUAGUGGGCUAUAGACGUGCCGCAAAAACCUAAACAAAAGGAUGCAAUGAUGUAAAUCGGAGCUAAUCCCCUAAAUAAGGUUUAAUGUUCUGAUUGUAGUCUGGAAUUCGACUACAUGAAGCAGGAAUUGCUAGUAAUCGUGAAUCACCACGUCACGGUGAA